RNAcentral lists this small nucleolar RNA (75 nucleotides) under Anopheles farauti. Lineage: Eukaryota; Metazoa; Arthropoda; Insecta; Diptera; Culicidae. The record is from RNAcentral.
CUUUUCUGAUGAUCUGUACGUACCGCCCCAGUCUGAUAAAAUUCGUGACUGAUUGGUUACUAUUUCUGAAAAAUC